RNAcentral lists this ribosomal RNA (82 nucleotides) under Escherichia coli. RNAcentral describes it as "partial 23S ribosomal RNA". RNAcentral also lists the same sequence under 3 other names. Lineage: Bacteria; Pseudomonadati; Pseudomonadota; Gammaproteobacteria; Enterobacterales; Enterobacteriaceae. The record is from RNAcentral.
CGGGUGUGUAAGCGCAGCGAUGCGUUGAGCUAACCGGUACUAAUGAACCGUGAGGCUUAACCUUACAACGCCGAAGGUGUUU